This 320-nucleotide small nuclear RNA is filed under the name Heterocephalus glaber (naked mole-rat). RNAcentral describes it as "7SK RNA". The stretch from base 1 to 282 matches the Rfam family "7SK RNA". Rfam says of the family: 7SK was discovered as an abundant small nuclear RNA in the mid-70s but a possible function has only recently been suggested. Two independent studies have found that 7SK RNA binds the CDK9/cyclin T complex (known as elongation factor P-TEFb). The record is from Rfam by way of RNAcentral. Lineage: Eukaryota; Metazoa; Chordata; Mammalia; Rodentia; Bathyergidae.
GGAUGUGAGGAUUAUCUGGCUGUGAAAUCUGUCACCCAUUGACCACCAAGGUUGAUUCAGUUGAUCUGGCUGGCUAGACAAAUAUCCCCUUCCUCCCUCACCACUCCAUGUGCAUCCCUCAUGAAGCUAUGUCCUCUGUCAAAGAGGAUGACCACCCCUGCUAGAUGAGGAUGGUUUCCUCAGUCAAGGGUAUACAAGUACCUACACUCCCAUGCUAGAACCUUAGAACAAGCUCUCAGAAUUGCCUGAGGUAUGAUGACAAAACCAUCUUCCAAGAAAGGAAAAGAACUGAUAAUCUGGCUGCUAUCCACUCAUUGUUU